Molecule: ribosomal RNA, 372 nt
Filed under: uncultured Pseudomonas sp.
Lineage: Bacteria; Pseudomonadati; Pseudomonadota; Gammaproteobacteria; Pseudomonadales; Pseudomonadaceae
Description: bacterial SSU rRNA
Rfam family: Bacterial small subunit ribosomal RNA
Source: RNAcentral
GCAGAGAAGCUUGCUUCUCUUGAGAGCGGCGGACGGGUGAGUAAAGCCUAGGAAUCUGCCUGGUAGUGGGGGAUAACGUUCGGAAACGGACGCUAAUACCGCAUACGUCCUACGGGAGAAAGCAGGGGACCUUCGGGCCUUGCGCUAUCAGAUGAGCCUAGGUCGGAUUAGCUAGUUGGUGAGGUAAUGGCUCACCAAGGCGACGAUCCGUAACUGGUCUGAGAGGAUGAUCAGUCACACUGGAACUGAGACACGGUCCAGACUCCUACGGGAGGCAGCAGUGGGGAAUAUUGGACAAUGGGCGAAAGCCUGAUCCAGCCAUGCCGCGUGUGUGAAGAAGGUCUUCGGAUUGUAAAGCACUUUAAGUUGGGA